RNAcentral lists this ribosomal RNA (253 nucleotides) under uncultured bacterium. Its description in RNAcentral is "partial 16S ribosomal RNA". It matches the Rfam family "Bacterial small subunit ribosomal RNA", at positions 524 to 776 of the family's 1533-position model. The record is from RNAcentral.
UACGGGGGGGGCAAGCGUUGUUCGGAAUUACUGGGCGUAAAGGGCGCGUAGGCGGCUUUUCAAGUCGGGCGUGAAAUCUCCGGGCUUAACCCGGAAGGGUCGUUCGAUACUGUUGAGCUAGAGUGUGGAAGAGGCAACUAGAAUUCCGUGUGUAGCGGUGAAAUGCGUAGAUAUACGGAGGAAUACCUGAGGCGAAGGCGGGUUGCUGGGCCAACACUGACGCUGAGGCGCGAAAGUGUGGGGAGCGAACAGG